This is a long non-coding RNA of Drosophila nasuta, 658 nucleotides long. RefSeq lists it as uncharacterized. The record is from RefSeq and is a predicted model, not a curated record. The transcript has 4 exons. Lineage: Eukaryota; Metazoa; Arthropoda; Insecta; Diptera; Drosophilidae.
ACACUCGUCGACAGCGGUGAGACGCAAUAACGGUCAAGCUGACAAAAUACAGACAUCCAAUCACAGCGCAAAUAAACGAUGAUGAAAUAUUAACAUGCACACUCACAACUAUUACAUAUAAAAGCUAAACAUUAUAAGAACCAAAUAAGUCUUCGAAGUGCGCACUAGAAUUAUUUAAAGUGAUAGUUGGUACCCAGACCUUUGGCUCCAGGUCUGCGGGUAUGCUAAAAUCACAUUUUAUAUAGUUAUAUACAUAUUACCAUUUCAAUUUGGGCACACCCUUUCAGAACAAACCUUUUCGGUCCAAGCGCCCUGCAGAACUGGAGGUGUCGAUUUGCCAUGGCUUACCUCGCCGAUCACUACUAAAGUGACCCUAUAGUAAACCAACGUCGAACCACCGAGUCGACUCGAGUUUGCGAUUGGCCCUGGCUGUGUGUCCUAGAUGAUGAAAUUAUUGCAAGCAUUUGAGUUGAGAAGUGCAAAGCGGAUCCGCGAUCAAUUAUUAGAUAAUAAAAGAAUAUCAAGCAGAUAGUAUAACGCAUAGUUCUACAGUGGAAAGCGACAAUGUGCCUAAAGAAGAGGAAGUGGAAAUUAUGACAGAAAAUCUACGUUAUGGAAAUAAUGACAGGGGAAUGCGGCCAAAAAAAAAAGAAGACAA